RNAcentral lists this ribosomal RNA (494 nucleotides) under uncultured bacterium. Its description in RNAcentral is "partial 16S ribosomal RNA". It matches the Rfam family "Bacterial small subunit ribosomal RNA", at positions 28 to 507 of the family's 1533-position model. The record is from RNAcentral.
GACGAACGCUGGCGGCGCGCUUAACACAUGCCAGUCGAACGGAAAGGCCUGCUUUCCCUUGUGGAUUGCGGGUACUCGAGUGGCGAACGGGUGAGUAACACGUGAGUGAUCUGCCCCCAACUUGGGUAUAAGCCUAGGAAACUGGGUCUAAUUCCCGAUAGGACUGCAGGGUGGUGCCUGUGGUGGAAAACGAUUUUCUAGUGGUUGGGGAUGAGCUCGCGGCCUAUCAGCUUGUUGGUGGGGUAAUGGCCUACCAAGGCGGCGACGGGUAGCCGGCCUGAGAGGGUGGACGGCCACAUUGGGACUGAGAUACGGCCCAGACUCCUACGGGAGGCAGCAGUGGGGAAUAUUGCACAAUGGGCGGAAGCCUGAUGCAGCGACGCCGCGUGGGGGAUGACGGCCUUCGGGUUGUAAACUCCUUUCGACCGCGAGGAAGCCACCUGGUUGGAAGGGUGGUGACGGUAGUGGUAGAAGAAGCACCGGCUAACUACGUG